RNAcentral lists this non-coding RNA (26 nucleotides) under Xenopus tropicalis (tropical clawed frog). The record is from RNAcentral. Lineage: Eukaryota; Metazoa; Chordata; Amphibia; Anura; Pipidae. RNAcentral also lists the same sequence under 7 other names.
UGGUGGUUCAGUGGUAGAAUUCUCGC